AUUGGUGGGAUGAGCAAUCCGAGUUCCCGGAUGAGGGAACAUUCUGCAGUAUAAAGGGAGCAGGGAAGGCGGGAGACAGCGCAGUUUGAAUCGCGGUGCGACGAAGGAGUAGGUGGUGGGAUCUCACCGUGGGUCCGAUUAGCCUUUUCUCUGCCUUGCUUGCUUGAGCUUCAGCGGAAUUCGAAAUGGCUGGCGGUAAGGCUGGAAAGGACUCCGGAAAGGCCAAGACAAAGGCGGUUUCCCGCUCGCAGAGAGCCGGCUUGCAGGUCAGUAGUUGUUCGUGCAGUCUGGGAGUCAUGAUGUUUUUCUUUGCAUUUCCUUUUUUGUUAUUCAUCGCUCUCGAUGGGCGUUUUGUGUAUGCGUGGGUGAUGCGGUGUCGCGACUUGGGCUGCCCAUACGAUAAAUAUGGGGGGGAGGAAUCACGUGUUUCGAUGUCGGGACGCGUUGCUGCGCCCGUGCCCCUUGCUUUGGCGCGCAUAUAAUUUCCCCAUCUCUAGUUCUCAUUUUUGUGCAUUUAUGUUUGUGUAUGCUUAAAAUUUAAGUUCCCAGUGGGCCGUAUUCAUCGACACCUAAAAUCUAGGACGACCAGUCAUGGACGUGUGGGCGCGACUGCCGCUGUGUACAGCGCAGCCAUCCUGGAGUACCUCACCGCAGAGGUAAAUGGGUGAACGCCUAUAAUCCGGAGAAGGUUUGGGGGGCGGGGAGGCGGCAAGAGGGAAGGAGGAAAGUGAUGCAAGAAAACUCCCAGGCCCUGAACGCGGCGAGAGGCCUAAGAGAACGCUAGAGGGAGCUGGUGUUCAACAAGGAUCCUACUGAGCUUGAGUUCUCUGCUCUUGGAAUUAAAAUUGCGUGCCCCCUGUAUAUCUUGCCAGUCAGAUAGUGAGGAACGAUUCCAGUUGGUAGAUCUGCGUUUGUGAGGGUUUUAUUCUGUUCUCUGAAUCUUGGCCAAAGGAAAGUUGGAAGGCAACUGACAGAUUCUGCCUUUUAGGUACUUGAACUGGCAGGAAAUGCAUCAAAAGACUUAAAGGUAAAGCGUAUUACCCCUCGUCACUUGCAACUUGCUAUUCGUGGAGAUGAAGAAUUGGAUUCUCUCAUCAAGGCUACAAUUGCUGGUGGUGGUAUGUUAACUUCUAACAUUUUAAAAAAUUUCUUCAGAGGAAGGAAUUUUUUGCUGCUUUUAAUUAGUUUUUCCAGGAGAGGAAAUUUAAGUAUAUUUUCAAUGAUGGAAGUAUGGUUGUAUCAUGAAAUUUGAUUUAUAUGUAUAACUCAAUGAAUUUUUACUUCAUACUUGAGCUGCAUGUUUUUAAAGAUACCUUUCAAGUUGAACAGUAUACACUUUCUUGGUUUCAAAUACUGUGAUUUUUUAAAAAAUCUUAAGUAGAAUUAAUUCCUGUCACUCUCCUAGGUGUCAUUCCACACAUCCACAAAUCUCUGAUUGGGAAGAAAGGACAACAGAAGACUGUCUAAAGGAUGCCUGGAUUCCUUGUUAUCUCAGGACUCUAAAUACUCUAACAGCUGUCCAGUGUUGGUGAUUCCAGUGGACUGUAUCUCUGUGAAAAACACAAUUUUGCCUUUUUGUAAUUCUAUUUGAGCAAGUUGGAAGUUUAAUUAGCUUUCCAACCAACCAAAUUUCUGCAUUCGAGUCUUAACCAUAUUUAAGUGUUACUGUGGCUUCAAAGAAGCUAUUGAUUCUGAAGUAGUGGGUUUUGAUUGAGUUGACUGUUUUUAAAAAACUGUUUGGAUUUUAAUUGUGAUGCAGAAGUUAUAGUAACAAACAUUUGGUUUUGUACAGACAUUAUUUCCACUCUGGUGGAUAAGUUCAAUAAAGGUCAUAUCCCAAACU
Molecule: long non-coding RNA, 1843 nt
Filed under: Homo sapiens (human)
Lineage: Eukaryota; Metazoa; Chordata; Mammalia; Primates; Hominidae
Description: non-protein coding lnc-H2AFZ-1:1
Source: RNAcentral